GUCACUGUGGCGGAAAGGUAACGCCUAUCUCUGAUUGAGGUACGACUUGCAAGGUUCGAAUCCUUGCCAGUGACU
This 75-nucleotide transfer RNA is filed under the name Enterococcus dispar. RNAcentral's name for it is "tRNA-Ile". It matches the Rfam family "tRNA". From Rfam's summary of the family: Transfer RNA (tRNA) molecules are approximately 80 nucleotides in length. Their secondary structure includes four short double-helical elements and three loops (D, anti-codon, and T loops). Further hydrogen bonds mediate the characteristic L-shaped molecular structure. tRNAs have two regions of fundamental functional importance: the anti-codon, which is responsible for specific mRNA codon recognition, and the 3' end, to which the tRNAs corresponding amino acid is attached (by aminoacyl-tRNA synthetases). tRNAs cope with the degeneracy of the genetic code in two manners: having more than one tRNA (with a specific anti-codon) for a particular amino acid; and 'wobble' base-pairing, i.e. permitting non-standard base-pairing at the 3rd anti-codon position. The record is from RNAcentral. Lineage: Bacteria; Bacillati; Bacillota; Bacilli; Lactobacillales; Enterococcaceae.